Molecule: ribosomal RNA, 230 nt
Filed under: uncultured bacterium
Lineage: Bacteria
Description: partial 16S ribosomal RNA
Rfam family: Bacterial small subunit ribosomal RNA
Source: RNAcentral
AAAGGGCGCGUAGGCGGUUCGGACAGUCAGGUGUGAAAUUCCCGGGCUUAACCUGGGGACUGCAUUUGAUACGUCCGGGCUAGAGUGCGGAAGAGGGUCGUGGAAUUCCCAGUGUAGAGGUGAAAUUCGUAGAUAUUGGGAAGAACACCGGUGGCGAAGGCGGCGACCUGGUCCGUGACUGACGCUGAGGCGCGAAAGCGUGGGGAGCAAACAGGAUUAGAUACCCUGGU